RNAcentral lists this ribosomal RNA (761 nucleotides) under uncultured organism. Its description in RNAcentral is "bacterial SSU rRNA". It matches the Rfam family "Bacterial small subunit ribosomal RNA", at positions 81 to 829 of the family's 1533-position model. The record is from RNAcentral.
CAGCCUGUGAAACGUGGCGAACGGGUGAGUAACGAAUAGAUUACCUGCCCUUAAGUUCGGGAUAAUCCACCGAAAGGUGAAGUAAUACCGGGUGGUAUGCUGUUUCAUCUGAAACAGCAUUAAAGGAGGCUCUGCUUCCGCUUAAGGAGGGGUUUAUUUCCUAUUAGCUUGUUGGUGAGAUAACAGCUCACCAAGGCGAGGAUGGGUAGGGGGCCUUAGCGGGUUAUCCCCCACACUGGGACUGAGACACUGCCCAGGUUCCUACGGGAGGCUGCAAUCGAGAAUCCUCCGCAAUGGGCGAAAGCCUGACGGGGUGACGCCGCGUGACCGAUGAAGGCCUAUCAGGUCGUAAAGGUCUAACAGGGAGUAUGAAAUUUAUUAUACCUAAUACGUAUAAUAAUUGACAUCAAUCCCAGAUGAAGUCACGGCUAAAUUUGUGCCAGCAGCCGCGGUAAUACAAAUGUGGCAAGCGUUGUUCGGAAUCACUGGGCAUACAGGGCACGUAGGUGGUGCAGUAAGUUAAUUGUGAAAGCCCUCGGCUUAACCGAGGAAUUGCAGUUAAAACUGUUGCGCUAGAGUACAGAAGGGGAGAGUGGAAUUCUAGGUGUAGCGGUGGAAUGCGAAGAUAUCUAGGAGAAGGCCGGUGGCGAAAGCGGCUCUCUAUUCUGUUACUGACACUGAGGUGCGAGAGCGUAGGUAGCGAACGGGAUUAGAUACCCCGGUAGUCUACGCUGUAAACGAUGGGCACUAGAUGGUGGAGG